ACUCCUACGGGAGGCAGCAGUGGGGAAUAUUGCACAAUGGGCGCAAGCCUGAUGCAGCCAUGCCGCGUGUGUGAAGAAGGCCUUCGGGUUGUAAAGCACUUUCAGUCGUGAGGAAGGUAGUGUAGUUAAUAGCUGCAGUAUUUGUACGUUAGCGACAGAAGAAGCACCGGCUAACUCCGUGCCAGCAGCCGCGGUAAUACGGAGGGUGCGAGCGUUAAUCGGAAUUACUGGGCGUAAAGCGCAUGCAGGUGGUUUGUUAAGUCAGAUGUGAAAGCCCGGGGCUCAACCUCGGAAUAGCAUUUGAAACUGGCAGACUAGAGUACUGUAGAGGGGGUAGAAUUUCAGGUGUAGCGGUGAAAUGCGUAGAGAUCUGAAGGAAUACCGGUGGCGAAGGCGGCCCCUGGACAGAUACUGACACUCAGAUGCGAAAGCGUGGGAGCAAACAGGAUUAGAUACCCCUGGUAGACUGUCA
This 472-nucleotide ribosomal RNA is filed under the name uncultured bacterium. RNAcentral describes it as "bacterial SSU rRNA". It matches the Rfam family "Bacterial small subunit ribosomal RNA", at positions 335 to 802 of the family's 1533-position model. The record is from RNAcentral.